This 477-nucleotide ribosomal RNA is filed under the name Triticum aestivum (bread wheat). RNAcentral describes it as "partial small subunit ribosomal RNA". Lineage: Eukaryota; Viridiplantae; Streptophyta; Magnoliopsida; Poales; Poaceae. The record is from RNAcentral.
AUGUAUGCAUUUGUAUACACUUCACUGAAACAAAUACACCAUGUCAAUACAUGGGUGGGAGCAGUUGUUGAGGCCAUUCCGCCACUUCUAGGGUGGGCAGCAGCAGCAUCUGAAGUGUCACUCAACUCUACGUUUCUGCCUGCUGCUUUGUACUUUUGGCAGUUACCACAUUUCAUGGCCCUUGCGUACUUAUGCCGUGACGACUACGUUGCUGGAGGUGGUAAAAGAACUGCAUGGGUAUCACUCAGGAAUUGUCUCUACAUGUUGCCGUUGGGGUUACUUGCAUAUAACUGGGGGCUAACAUCUGGAUGGUUCAGUUUUGAAGCAUCAUUUCUAAUGACGGGCCUUACCAUUGGAGCCUUAUCAUUUGUACUGGAUCCUACUCACAAGAGUGCAAGAAGAAUGUUCCAUGGUAGCCUUUUGUAUCUUCCUGCAUUAAUGGCUGGACUUAUAUUGCAUCGGCUGCCUAACCAAUGA